Molecule: long non-coding RNA, 251 nt
Organism: Carassius auratus (goldfish)
Lineage: Eukaryota; Metazoa; Chordata; Actinopteri; Cypriniformes; Cyprinidae
Exons: 3
Source: RefSeq, a predicted model, not a curated record
GCCAUACAUAGCCUGAGCCUGUCAUGUUGAGGAAGCGUGCUGUUUUGUACACGGCGGCUGCAUCUUCCUCACUAAAGGCAGACAGACAGUGUUCUAAGGCCUGUCCUGCUGAAAAGACCAACUGGUUAGUGCUAGUCUUGUGCUGGUCGACCAGCAAAGCAGCAGGUUAUAAUACAGUGAAGAGUGAAGUGCAGAGAUUUUGGUGGACUGCUAAGAUAACAUCAUGCAGUAAACCUCUUACCUGGCAGAGA